GAUGAAGAACGUAGCGAAAUGCGAUACGUAAUGUGAAUUGCAGAAUUCAGUGAAUCAUCGAGUCUUUGAACGCACAUUGCGCCCUCUGGUAUUCCGGAGGGCAUGCCUGUCCGAGCGUCAUUGCUGCCCUCAAGCACGGCUUGUGUGUUGGGCCCCGUCCUCCUUCCGGGGGACGGGUCCGAAAGGCAGCGGCGGCACCGCGUCCGGUCCUCAAGCGUAUGGGGCUUUGUCGCUCGCUUUGUAGGCCUGGCCGGCGCUUGCCGAUCAACCAAACUUUUUAUCAGGUUGACCUCGGAUCAGGUAGGGAUACCCGCUGAACUUAAGCAUAUCAAUAAGCGGAGGA
Molecule: unclassified non-coding RNA, 343 nt
Filed under: soil metagenome
Description: partial contains 5.8S ribosomal RNA, internal transcribed spacer 2, and large subunit ribosomal RNA
Rfam family: 5.8S ribosomal RNA (bases 1-120)
Source: RNAcentral